UACAGAGGUCCCGAGCGUUGUUCGGAUUCACUGGGCGUAAAGGGUGCGUAGGCGGCUGGGUAAGUCUGAUGUGAAAUCUCCGGGCCCAACCCGGAAAUGGCAUUAGAAACUACCUGGCUGGAGGCUUGGAGGGGGAACUGGAAUACUUGGUGUAGCAGUGAAAUGCGUAGAUAUCAAGUGGAACACCGGUGGCGAAGGCGGCAUCCUGGACCAACACUGACGCUGAGGCGCGAAAGCUAGGGGAGCAAACGGG
RNAcentral lists this ribosomal RNA (253 nucleotides) under uncultured bacterium. RNAcentral's name for it is "partial 16S ribosomal RNA". It matches the Rfam family "Bacterial small subunit ribosomal RNA", at positions 524 to 776 of the family's 1533-position model. The record is from RNAcentral.